GGAGUCUGGGCCGUGUCUCAGUCCCAAUGUGGCCGUUCAACCUCUCAGUCCGGCUACUGAUCGUCGGCUUGGUGGGCCGUUACCUCACCAACUACCUAAUCAGACGCGAGCUCAUCUUUCGGCGAAAUUCAUUUGAUAACAAAGUCAUGCGGCUUCGUUAUGUUAUGAGGUAUUAACAAUCGUUUCCAAUUGGUAUCCCUCUCCGAAAGGCAGAUUGCUCACGUGUUACUCACCCGUCCGCCACUAGCUAGACCAGCAAGCUGGUUUCGCUCGUUCGACUUGCAUGUGUUAAGCGUGCCGCCAGCGUUCGUCCUCGAGCCAUGAUCAAACUACU
This 334-nucleotide ribosomal RNA is filed under the name uncultured Ruminococcus sp. RNAcentral's name for it is "partial 16S ribosomal RNA". Lineage: Bacteria; Bacillati; Bacillota; Clostridia; Eubacteriales; Oscillospiraceae. The record is from RNAcentral.